AAAUGCGAUAAGUAGUGUGAAUUGCAGAAUUCAGUGAAUCAUCGAAUCUUUGAACGCACAUUGCGCCCCUUGGUAUUCCAUGGGGCAUGCCUGUUCGAGCGUCAUCUACACCCUCAAGCUCUGCUUGGUGUUGGGCGUCUGUCCCCGCCUCCGCGCGCGGACUCGCCCCAAAUCCAUUGGCAGCGUCCCCUCGCCCCCCUCUCGCGCAGCACGAAUGCGCAUGACGAGGGAGCGGCUCCCGGGAUCGCGACCCACCCCCAAGAUGACCACCGUCUUUGACCUCGGAUCAGGUAGGGAUACCCGCUGAACUUAAGC
This 315-nucleotide unclassified non-coding RNA is filed under the name plant metagenome. RNAcentral's name for it is "partial contains 5.8S ribosomal RNA, internal transcribed spacer 2, and large subunit ribosomal RNA". The stretch from base 1 to 104 matches the Rfam family "5.8S ribosomal RNA", at positions 51 to 154 of the family's 154-position model. The record is from RNAcentral.